RNAcentral lists this ribosomal RNA (497 nucleotides) under uncultured bacterium. Its description in RNAcentral is "partial 16S ribosomal RNA". It matches the Rfam family "Bacterial small subunit ribosomal RNA", at positions 28 to 507 of the family's 1533-position model. The record is from RNAcentral.
GAUGAACGCUGGCGGCGUGCCUAAUACAUGCAAGUCGAGCGAACGGACGAGAAGCUUGCUUCUCUGAUGUUAGCGGCGGACGGGUGAGUAACACGUGGAUAACCUACCUAUAAGACUGGGAUAACUUCGGGAAACCGUAGCUAAUACCGGAUAAUAUUUUGAACCGCAUGGUUCAAAAGUGAAAGACGGUCUUGCUGUCACUUAUAGAUGGAUCCGCGCUGCAUUAGCUAGUUGGUAAGGUAACGGCUUACCAAGGCAACGAUGCAUAGCCGACCUGAGAGGGUGAUCGGCCACACUGGAACUGAGACACGGUCCAGACUCCUACGGGAGGCAGCAGUAGGGAAUCUUCCGCAAUGGGCGAAAGCCUGACGGAGCAACGCCGCGUGAGUGAGGAAGGUCUUCGGAUCGUAAAACUCUGUUAUUAGGGAAGAACAUAUGUGUAAGUAACUGUGCACAUCUUGACGGUACCUAAUCAGAAAGCCACGGCUAACUACGUG